This 222-nucleotide long non-coding RNA is filed under the name Elaeis guineensis (African oil palm). Its description in RNAcentral is "long non-coding RNA (EGUI_LNC075797)". Lineage: Eukaryota; Viridiplantae; Streptophyta; Magnoliopsida; Arecales; Arecaceae. The record is from RNAcentral.
UCGCAGGAAGUGGAGCAGAAUCGUGGUCGUUACUGCGGCUUGCUAGGGUGUCCAAGCCUGUCGGCCAAAGCUUGGUUGAGGCGCCUGAUGGAGAGAAAUGGCUAUCCAUUUGAAAGGAGAUUGGAUGUUGCUGGCGGGCCGCGAUCGAUGUCGGGGGCAGAGUCCGGCUCCCGUAGGAGUCCGGACGGAGUCUGCCUGCAGUCGAAGUUGGGGACGAGGUCC